CGCGCUACAUUUGUAAAAUAUCAGGCCAAUACAGUUGAAUAUGUCUAAAAUACAGUUGAAUAUGUCUAAAAUACAGUUGAAUAUGUCUAAAGUGGGAAUAUGAGACGUCACGACCCGGCGCUAUCCUAACAAAGUCAGAAGAGCAAGAGGAUUCGUUUAUUUGGACCGACGGCUCAGUUGUGGAUUUCACCGACUGGGAAAACAACCAACCUAACAACAAUGGAAUCCAGAACUGUGUAAACAUCAACUUCAGAGGAGAUGAUCAGUGGAAUGAUAUCCAAUGCACGAUGUUAAGAACUUAUGUCUGUGCCAUGGAUCUGAAACCUCACCAUUAAGAUCCCCCAUGAUAUCUUCUAGUGUUUUCCACUGUCUGGGUUAGACCGCUAAAACAACUUCUUUACGC
Long non-coding RNA from Nerophis lumbriciformis (worm pipefish), 403 nucleotides. RefSeq lists it as uncharacterized. Lineage: Eukaryota; Metazoa; Chordata; Actinopteri; Syngnathiformes; Syngnathidae. The record is from RefSeq and is a predicted model, not a curated record.